RNAcentral lists this long non-coding RNA (320 nucleotides) under Sorghum bicolor (sorghum). RNAcentral's name for it is "long non-coding RNA (SBIC_LNC011951)". The record is from RNAcentral. Lineage: Eukaryota; Viridiplantae; Streptophyta; Magnoliopsida; Poales; Poaceae.
AUACAUACUUACAAGACAUUUAUUGCAUAGUCAAACCAUUGAUCCAGAGAAACAAGUCAAUAAGUCAAAUCAAGAUGUGCAUGUGUGGCGAAUGAAUGGUGUAUGGUGAUGAUGGUGAUAAUGGUGAAAACAAUGGUGAAAGUCUAAUUCUACUUUUGCUCUUUUGAGGGGAUACAUACCUUUCUUGCACUUUUGAAACUUUUUGAGGAGAAUGAGAUGCUCUAUAUUUUCUUUUUCUUUUCUCUCAGGUGGGUAUCUUGUACCCCUAAUUCUACUGUCGGAUACUUGUCCAUUUUUACCUCUCGUCUCACUUUUUCUUA